This 2852-nucleotide long non-coding RNA is filed under the name Homo sapiens (human). Its description in RNAcentral is "HSALNT0290961". The record is from RNAcentral. Lineage: Eukaryota; Metazoa; Chordata; Mammalia; Primates; Hominidae.
UUCAAGCGAUUCUCCUGCCUCAGCCUCCCAAGUAGCUGGGAUUACAGCUCCUUCCAACUCCUCAGAACCUCCACUCUAUGGAUCUGGACCUCUGGAUUCGGCUUUCUCCCUGGGCACUGCCUUCAGGAAGACGUUGAGAAUUGACCUUACACAAUCCCAGCGCCCUCCUCACAGGAGCCUUUCACUUUACAGUGGCAAGGGGCUGGUUCUGGAGAACUGGCUGAUGCUCUGAAUUUCUUCAUAUACCCCACAUUUGACUUUGGCUUACACUGUACAAUUGGAGAUGUUGCUACAGGUCCCUGAGAUGCAAUCAGAUUAAGCGUAGCAAGCAUUGCCAAUGGGAAAGUCAAAAUAAUUUAUUUUUUUUCCCUUUCCCCCUACCCCAUCCCCAGCCAAGAAUUUCUUUUCAAGAUAUCGUCAUCAUUCUUAAACAACAUUCUUAACCCCCAGCUGGGGUCCCCAUUUUAAUAGAUGUCAUUGCUUCAAGUCUAACGGCGCCGGGAGGCCUGUUUGAGGGAAAACAUUAGUUUGAAAAAUCCCCGUUCCCUUCAUCCACUGCCCUUGUUCUCCACGUGGGAGUGUGCUUGUGGCCCCUCAGAAAGAUAGUCUGCUGGCUCCUAGGGGUUGGGGUGGGGGACACACCUUUUUCUCAGGAAGAGGUGAUGGCAAUGUAAAACAUCUAAGCAAAGUUUUAAAUGAAAAAAAGGAAACACAUUUAAACAUCCUGAUAAUGGAGGGAAGGGGGGCACAUUUACACAUAGCCCAGAACUUGUAGAAUUCUGCAUAGUGAAUGUAUAUUGAAUUAGUCUCCUGCCUUAUACAUUCAGGAGGAAUAAAUUUCCAUAAUGUAAGGCAAAUGCAUGGGGUUCUGAGGUUCACUUUGCAAGUGCCCUUGCUGCCUUUCCUCUGUGUCUAUUAUGGCUCUUUAAGUUGACGGUUCCUGGAGCAGCUUGUAUUUAGUUUCGUUUGGCAGUCUGGCCCUGUUGACUUUGAUUUGCAGACCAAUUCUCCCUUGACCUGACUCACAGCCGCCUGCUCUUACCCCCCUCCUCAGGAAGUCUUCCUCAUUAAAGGAUGUGAUGACGGAGCUCAGGGAUGAGAAUGCACAUGUGAGACUGUGUGACACCAAGGAGGGUUGUGCGAACUGGUGACAACAUGGCAGCACCAUGGCCUGUGGGGGUUGUGUGACUAGUGUGACUGUGCUGGCGACCAUAUGGACCUGUUUUGUCAGUCGGUGUCUAAGCAGGAGAUGGCACACUCAAACUGGGAAGUGUUUUAAACAUAGGCUAUUCUGGCCUGGCAUGGUGGAUCACACCUGUAAUCCCAGCACUUUGGGAGGCUGAGGCAGGAGGGUUGCUUGAGCUCAGGAGUUCGAGACCAGCCUGGGAGAUCCCUGCUCUAUAAAAAUGAAAAAAUUAGCCAGGUGGGGUGGCACAUGCCUGUGGUACCAGCUACUUAGGAGGCUGAGGUGGGAGGAUUGCUUGAGCCCAGGAGGUCAAGGCUGCACUGAGCUGUGAUCCUACCACUGUGCGCUCCAGCCUGGGCAACAGAACAAGACCCUAUCUCAAGAAAUAAAACAGACUAUUUCCAAAGGCGUGGGCUGGGCUUAAGAAACUAACAAGGGGCUGGGUUUGGUGGCUCACAUUUGUAAUCCCAGUACUUUGGGAGGCCGAGGCAGGCAGAUCACCUGAGGUCAGGAGUUUGAGACCAGUGUGGCCAACAUGGCGAAACCCCAUCCUAUUAAAAAUACAAAAAUUAGCCAGGCGUUGUUGUGUGCACCUGUAGUCCAAGCUCCUUGGGAGGCUGAGGCAUGAGAGUGGCUUGAACCUGGGAGGCGGAGGUUGCAGUGAGCUGAGAUCGCGUCACUGCAUGCCAGCCUGGGUGAGUGCUCUCCCCCCUCCACCCAAAAAAAAAAAUGUAAUGGGAUGGUUCAGCAAUCUGGGGCCAGCAACAGUGAGAAGCCUUUGCAACUCCUGAGUCUGAGGGUGAGGAGAGGUCACUGUGUGGAGUGGGGCCCCUGACAAGAACCGUGACCUUUGGUUGAGAGAUGUGGCCAACCAUGGCAACCUGGUAGAGAGGGAACAAAGAGAAUAAAUAUCUACUCCUCCCUUAAGUCUCCUUAAGACGCUGGGAUGUCUCAUUGGCAACCCAACAGGAAGCCGGGGAACAAGGGAGCCAUUGAUGCAGUCCACAGAUGCCAGCCCCCAGGGAACAGAGCAGAAGUGUGGCGAGUGAAAGCGGAAGGGCAGCAUAUCAUGUAACUGUCUGAGGCUAUGCCUUGUUCCUCAAAGUCCACAGCAACGCUCCUUCCCCAUCCGGAGCUCCCACAACCCUCGGGUCUGAAGGGGUGGGUGGACUGUUGCUUGGAGAGCACAGUAAGGUUGGAAGGUAGAGGACAGGGCUUUUCCCUCUCAGCCUUUGCAUUGCUGGCUCUGAGUCCCAGUUCCUGAUUCCUGCCUGUCCUGGUGUCUUAGGUAGCUGCAGGAACUGUCCACAGGAGGAACCAUGUCAGCCACUGAGUCGGUGUUUUUCUCACACUCAGAAACGCUGCACCACUCCCAAACAAAACCACAGGCGUGCUGCUGCCAUCAUGAGCCCUGGACAGUCAUCACAAGCCAUAAUUACUGUCACAUGUAUAUCAAGAAAACAUACAUCUUGGCCAGGUGUGGUGGCUCACGCCUGUAAUCCCAGCACUUUGGGAGGCCGAGGUGGGCAGAUCACGAGGUCAAGAGUUCGAGACCAGCCUGACCAACAUGGUGAAACCCCGUCUCUACUAAAAAUACAAAAAUUAGCUGGGCAUGGUGGUGGGUGCCUGUAGUCCCAGCUCCUCGGGAGGCUGAGGUAGGAGAAUG